GCGGGCGUAGCUCAAUGGUAGAGCCCUGGCCUUCCAAGCCAGCCAUGAGGGUUCGAUCCCCUUCGCCCGCUCCA
RNAcentral lists this transfer RNA (74 nucleotides) under Burkholderiales bacterium. RNAcentral's name for it is "tRNA-Gly". It matches the Rfam family "tRNA". Rfam says of the family: Transfer RNA (tRNA) molecules are approximately 80 nucleotides in length. Their secondary structure includes four short double-helical elements and three loops (D, anti-codon, and T loops). Lineage: Bacteria; Pseudomonadati; Pseudomonadota; Betaproteobacteria; Burkholderiales. The record is from RNAcentral. RNAcentral also lists the same sequence under 2 other names.